RNAcentral lists this transfer RNA (73 nucleotides) under Spirochaetaceae bacterium. Its description in RNAcentral is "tRNA-Val". It matches the Rfam family "tRNA". From Rfam's summary of the family: Transfer RNA (tRNA) molecules are approximately 80 nucleotides in length. Their secondary structure includes four short double-helical elements and three loops (D, anti-codon, and T loops). Lineage: Bacteria; Pseudomonadati; Spirochaetota; Spirochaetia; Spirochaetales; Spirochaetaceae. The record is from RNAcentral.
GGACGAUUAGUUCAGUUGGGAGAGCCUCUGGGUCACAACCAGAAUGUCAGCGGUUCGAGCCCGUUAUCGUCCA